RNAcentral lists this ribosomal RNA (497 nucleotides) under uncultured bacterium. Its description in RNAcentral is "partial 16S ribosomal RNA". It matches the Rfam family "Bacterial small subunit ribosomal RNA", at positions 28 to 507 of the family's 1533-position model. The record is from RNAcentral.
GAUGAACGCUGGCGGCGUGCCUAAUACAUGCAAGUCGAGCGAACAGACGAGGAGCUUGCUCCUCUGACGUUAGCGGCGGACGGGUGAGUAACACGUGGAUAACCUACCUAUAAGACUGGGAUAACUUCGGGAAACCGGAGCUAAUACCGGAUAAUAUAUUGAACCGCAUGGUUCAAUGGUGAAAGACGGUUUUGCUGUCACUUAUAGAUGGAUCCGCGCCGCAUUAGCUAGUUGGUAAGGUAACGGCCUACCAAGGCAACGAUGCGUAGCCGACCCGAGAGGGUGAUCGGCCACACGGGAACUGAGACACGGUCCAGACUCCUACGGGAGGCAGCAGUAGGGAAUCUUACGCAAUGGGCGAAAGCCUGACGGAGCAACGCCGCGUGAGUGAUGAAGGUCUUCGGAUCGUAAAACUCUGUUAUUAGGGAAGAACAAAUGUGUAAGUAACUAUGCACGUCUUGACGGUACCUAAUCAGAAAGCCACGGCUAACUACGUG